This 429-nucleotide ribosomal RNA is filed under the name Fusobacteriota bacterium. RNAcentral describes it as "Fusobacteria bacterium partial 16S ribosomal RNA". It matches the Rfam family "Bacterial small subunit ribosomal RNA", at positions 355 to 776 of the family's 1533-position model. Lineage: Bacteria; Fusobacteriati; Fusobacteriota. The record is from RNAcentral.
UGGGGAAUCUUCCGCAAUGGACGAAAGUCUGACGGAGCAACGCCGCGUGAGUGAAGACGGCCUUCGGGUUGUAAAGCUCUGUGAUCCGGGACGAAAGAGCCUGAGGUGAAUAGCCUAAGGAAGUGACGGUACCGGAAAAGCAAGCCACGGCUAACUACGUGCCAGCAGCCGCGGUAAUACGUAGGUGGCAAGCGUUGUCCGGAAUUAUUGGGCGUAAAGCGCGCGCAGGCGGCUUCCUAAGUCCAUCUUAAAAGUGCGGGGCUUAACCCCGUGAUGGGAUGGAAAAUGGGAAGCUGGAGUAUCGGAGAGGAAAGUGGAAUUCCUAGUGUAGCGGUGAAAUGCGUAGAGAUUAGGAAGAACACCGGUGGCGAAGGCGACUUUCUGGACGAAAACUGACGCUGAGGCGCGAAAGCGUGGGGAGCAAACAGG